Molecule: unclassified non-coding RNA, 252 nt
Filed under: Hevea brasiliensis (rubber tree)
Lineage: Eukaryota; Viridiplantae; Streptophyta; Magnoliopsida; Malpighiales; Euphorbiaceae
Source: RNAcentral
GUGAGGUUUGGCAGUCAGAAGGUGAGUUGAGCAGAAGAAGAGGAGGCAGGAAUAUUGAGAACAUGUUUGGCAAUCCAUCACCAGAUUAUUUGCCAUUUGAAUUCCGUGCUCUUGAAGUUGCACUGGAGGCAGCUUGUACUUUUCUUGAUUCUCAGGGAAAAGUCAUAACGAUCAUUCUUCCAAUCUUCCAAGGAAAUAGCUUGAGCUUCUUUUUAUUUUUAUAACCUGGAAAUCCUUGAGGGGCAGUGAUGG